UACGGAGGGGGCUAGCGUUGUUCGGAAUUACUGGGCGUAAAGCGCGCGUAGGCGGAUCGCUAAGUCAGGGGUGAAAUCCCAGGGCUCAACCCUGGAACUGCCUUUGAUACUGACGGUCUGGAGAUCGGGAGAGGUUGGUGGAAUUCCGAGUGUAGAGGUGAAAUUCGUAGAUAUGGGGAGGAACACCAGUGGCGAAGGCGACUCACUGGCCCGAUACUGACGCUGAGGCGCGAAAGCCAGGGAGCAAAGCGGG
RNAcentral lists this ribosomal RNA (253 nucleotides) under uncultured bacterium. Its description in RNAcentral is "partial 16S ribosomal RNA". It matches the Rfam family "Bacterial small subunit ribosomal RNA", at positions 524 to 777 of the family's 1533-position model. The record is from RNAcentral.